This 87-nucleotide transfer RNA is filed under the name Herposiphonia versicolor. Its description in RNAcentral is "tRNA-Leu". It matches the Rfam family "tRNA". From Rfam's summary of the family: Transfer RNA (tRNA) molecules are approximately 80 nucleotides in length. Their secondary structure includes four short double-helical elements and three loops (D, anti-codon, and T loops). Lineage: Eukaryota; Rhodophyta; Florideophyceae; Ceramiales; Rhodomelaceae. The record is from RNAcentral.
ACAGGUAUGAUGAAAUUUGGUAAACAUAUUAGGUUUAGAUUCUAAUUAACAAAAAAGUUAUUGAGGGUUCGAGUCCCUCUACCUGUA